GAUGGACGCUAGCGGGAGGCCUAACACAUGCAAGCCGAGCGGGAUUUGUUGGUUAGCUUGCUAACUAACAAUGAGAGCGGCGUACGGGUGCGUAGCACGUGUGCAACCUGCCUUUAUCUGGGGGAUAGCCUUUCGAAAGGAAGAUUAAUACCCCAUAACAUAUUGAUUGGCAUCAGUUAAUAUUGAAAGCUCCGGCGGAUAGAGAUGGGCACGCGUAAGAUUAGCUAGUUGGUGAGGUAACGGCUCACCAAGGCUGCGAUCUUUAGGGGGCCUGAGAGGGUGAUCCCCCACACUGGUACUGAGACACGGACCAGACUCCUACGGGAGGCAGCAGUGAGGAAUAUUGGACAAUGGGUGAGAGCCUGAUCCAGCCAUCCCGCGUGAAGGACUAAGGACCUAUGGUUUGUAAACUUCUUUUAUACAGGGAUAAACCUACUCUCGUGAGGGUAGCUGAAGGUACUGUAUGAAUAAGCACCGGCUAACUCCGUG
RNAcentral lists this ribosomal RNA (489 nucleotides) under uncultured bacterium. RNAcentral's name for it is "partial 16S ribosomal RNA". It matches the Rfam family "Bacterial small subunit ribosomal RNA", at positions 28 to 507 of the family's 1533-position model. The record is from RNAcentral.